Molecule: ribosomal RNA, 253 nt
Filed under: uncultured bacterium
Lineage: Bacteria
Description: partial 16S ribosomal RNA
Rfam family: Bacterial small subunit ribosomal RNA
Source: RNAcentral
GACGAACCGUGCGAACGUUGUUCGGAAUCACUGGGCGUAAAGCGCACGUAGGCGGAUGUGUCAGUCAGGGGUGAAAUCCCGGGGCUCAACCUCGGAACUGCCUUUGAUACAGCACGUCUCGAGUCCGGAAGAGGUGGGUGGAAUUCCUAGUGUAGAGGUGAAAUUCGUAGAUAUUAGGAAGAACACCGGUGGCGAAGGCGGCCCACUGGUCCGGUACUGACGCUGAGGUGCGAAAGCGUGGGGAGCAAACAGG